Molecule: ribosomal RNA, 505 nt
Filed under: uncultured bacterium
Lineage: Bacteria
Description: partial 16S ribosomal RNA
Rfam family: Bacterial small subunit ribosomal RNA
Source: RNAcentral
GACGAACGCUGGCGGCGUGCCUAAUACAUGCAAGUAGAACGCACAGUUUAUACCGUAGCUUGCUACACCAUAGACUGUGAGUUGCGAACGGGUGAGUAACGCGUAGGUAACCUGCCUGGUAGCGGGGGAUAACUAUUGGAAACGAUAGCUAAUACCGCAUAAUAUUGAUUAUUGCAUGAUAAUUGAUUGAAAGAUGCUAUUGCAUCACUACCAGAUGGACCUGCGUUGUAUUAGCUAGUAGGUGAGGUAACGGCUCACCUAGGCGACGAUACAUAGCCGACCUGAGAGGGUGAUCGGCCACACUGGGACUGAGACACGGCCCAGACGCCUACGGGAGGCAGCAGUAGGGAAUCUUCGGCAAUGGACGAAAGUCUGACCGAGCAACGCCGCGUGAGUGAAGAAGGUUUUCGGAUCGUAAAGCUCUGUUGUAAGAGAGGAACGGGUGUGAGAGUGGAAAGUUCACACUGUGACGGUAUCUUACCAGAAAGGGACGGCUAACUACGUG